UAAUAGCGUAUAUUAAAGUUGUUGCAGUUAAAAAGCUCGUAGUUGGAUCUCGGGGCCGGGCCAGCUGUCCGCUAACGCGAGAUGGCUGGGCCAGCCCUUUCUUUCCGGGGACCACGUUGCUCUUCGUUGAGGGACGCUGGGACACGGAUCGUUUACUUUGAAAAAAUUAGAGUGUUCAAAGCAGGCCUUCGCUUGAAUACAUUAGCAUGGAAUAAUGGAAUAGGACUUCGGUGCUAUUUCGUUGGUUUCUAGAACCGAAGUAAUGAUUAAUAGGGAUAGUUGGGGGCGUUCAUAUUCCGUUGUCAGAGGUGAAAUUCUUGGAUUUACGGAAGAUGAACUUCUGCGAAAGCAUUCGCCAAGGAUGUUUNCAUUAA
This 374-nucleotide ribosomal RNA is filed under the name uncultured eukaryote. RNAcentral describes it as "partial 18S ribosomal RNA". It matches the Rfam family "Eukaryotic small subunit ribosomal RNA", at positions 592 to 976 of the family's 1831-position model. The record is from RNAcentral.